GACGAACGCUGGCGGCGUGCUUAACACAUGCAAGUCGAACGAUGAAGCCUAGCUUGCUAGGUGGAUUAGUGGCGAACGGGUGAGUAAUACGUGAGUAACCUACCUUUAACUCUGGGAUAAGCCCGGGAAACUGGGUCUAAUACCGGAUACGACCAAUCUCCGCAUGGGGUGUUGGUGGAAAGCGUUAUGUAGUGGUUGUAGAUGGGCUCAUGGCCUAGCAGCUUGUUGGUGAGGUAACGGCUCACCAAGGCGACGACGGGUAGCCGGCCUGCGGGGGUGACCGGCCACACUGGGACUGAGACACGGCCCAGACUCCUACGGGAGGCAGCAGUGGGGAAUAUUGCACAAUGGGCGCAAGCCUGAUGCAGCGACGCCGCGUGAGGGAUGACGGCCUUCGGGUUGUAAACCUCUGUUAGCAGGGAAGAAGAGAGAUUGACGGUACCUGCAGAGAAAGCGCCGGCUAACUACGUG
Molecule: ribosomal RNA, 471 nt
Filed under: uncultured bacterium
Lineage: Bacteria
Description: partial 16S ribosomal RNA
Rfam family: Bacterial small subunit ribosomal RNA
Source: RNAcentral